CCGCCCGUCAAGCCACCUGAGUCGAGAGCACCCGAAGUCGAUGAUCCAACCCGCAAGGGGGCAGCCGUCUAAGGCAGGGCAGAUGAUUGGGGUG
Molecule: ribosomal RNA, 94 nt
Filed under: uncultured bacterium
Lineage: Bacteria
Description: partial 16S ribosomal RNA
Source: RNAcentral